Molecule: long non-coding RNA, 423 nt
Filed under: Homo sapiens (human)
Lineage: Eukaryota; Metazoa; Chordata; Mammalia; Primates; Hominidae
Description: HSALNT0292255
Source: RNAcentral
UGGAGCUGUGAGCCAAUUAAACUUCUUUUCUUUAUAAAUUACCUAGCCUCAGGUAUUUCUUUUCUUUUUUUUUUUUUUUUUUUUUUUUUUUUUUUUGACAGAGUCUCACUUAUCUCAUGUUGCCCAGGCUGGAGUGCAAUGGAGUGAUCUUGGCUCGCUGCAAUCUCCGCCUCCCGGGUUCAAGCGAUUCUCCUGCCUCAGCCUCCUGAGUAGCUUGGAUUACAGGGAAGGGCCCCCUGUCCGGUGGACACGUGACUUGCAUGACCUUACCUAUCAUUGGAGACGACUCACACUCCUUACCCUGCCCUCUUGCCUUGUAUACAAUAAAUAACAGCAUGGCCAGGCAUUCAGGGCCACUACCAGUCUCCGUGCCUUGGUGGUAGUGGUCCCCUGGGCCCAGCUGUCUUUUCUUCUAUCUCUUUG